GACGAACGCUGGCGGCGUGCUUAACACAUGCAAGUCGAACGGAAAGGCCCUGCUUUUGUGGGGUGCUCGAGUGGCGAACGGGUGAGUAACACGUGAGUAACCUGCCCUUGACUUUGGGAUAACUUCAGGAAACUGGGGCUAAUACCGGAUAGGAGCUCCUGCUGCAUGGUGGGGGUUGGAAAGUUUCGGCGGUUGGGGAUGGACUCGCGGCUUAUCAGCUUGUUGGUGGGGUAGUGGCUUACCAAGGCUUUGACGGGUAGCCGGCCUGAGAGGGUGACCGGCGACAAGGGGACUGAGAUACGGACCAGAAUGCAACGGGAGGCAGUAGGGGGGAAUAUUGCACAGCGGGCGGAAGCCUGAUGCGGAAACGCUGGGUGCGGGAUGACGGGCUUCGGGUUGAAAACCGCUUUGGACUGUGACGAAGAGUGAGUGACGGUAACGGGUAAAGAAGCACCGGCUAACUACGUG
RNAcentral lists this ribosomal RNA (468 nucleotides) under uncultured bacterium. RNAcentral's name for it is "partial 16S ribosomal RNA". It matches the Rfam family "Bacterial small subunit ribosomal RNA", at positions 28 to 507 of the family's 1533-position model. The record is from RNAcentral.